AAGGGCCGGCCAACCCGGUGCCAGCCGCCGCGGCUACACCGCUGGGGCCCAAGCUGACCAUUAUCUGCGUUGAUUGUGAUUAAAGUAAAGAUAAAUUAGAGUUAAAUUAAAGCUUAGCUGUGAAAAGCUUGCAACCUAGAAAUCCAAAAACGAAAGUUAUUCUAAUUAAUACUUGAAUACACGACAGUUUGGGUACAAACUGAGAUUAGUAGAUACCCCACUAU
RNAcentral lists this ribosomal RNA (224 nucleotides) under Buergeria japonica (Japanese Buerger's frog). Its description in RNAcentral is "partial 12S ribosomal RNA". The record is from RNAcentral. Lineage: Eukaryota; Metazoa; Chordata; Amphibia; Anura; Rhacophoridae.